AAGUCGUAACAAGGUUUCCGUAGGUGAACCUGCGGAAGGAUCAUUAAUGAAACUUCAAGUCGGCUGUUCUGUGCUGGUGGCAACACAUGUGCACGUUCAGUCGCAAUCCACACACCUGUGCACUUUGACUCUGAGCACCGCCUGUAACAGGGCAGAAGGUUUGAGAUGAAGGUCUUAACCUGGUACUCGAGUAGUUUACACACUCUGUAUGUAAUAGAAUGUAACUGUACAAUGUACAACCAUAAACAACUUUCAACAACGGAUCUCUUGGCUCUC
Molecule: unclassified non-coding RNA, 276 nt
Filed under: fungal sp.
Lineage: Eukaryota; Fungi
Description: partial internal transcribed spacer region
Rfam family: Eukaryotic small subunit ribosomal RNA (bases 1-46)
Source: RNAcentral